This 465-nucleotide ribosomal RNA is filed under the name Vreelandella stevensii. Its description in RNAcentral is "partial 16S ribosomal RNA". It matches the Rfam family "Bacterial small subunit ribosomal RNA", at positions 338 to 795 of the family's 1533-position model. The record is from RNAcentral. Lineage: Bacteria; Pseudomonadati; Pseudomonadota; Gammaproteobacteria; Oceanospirillales; Halomonadaceae.
CCUACGGGUGGCUGCAGUGGGGAAUAUUGGACAAUGGGGGCAACCCUGAUCCAGCCAUGCCGCGUGUGUGAAGAAGGCCCUCGGGUUGUAAAGCACUUUCAGUGAGGAAGAACGCCUGGUGGUUAAUACCCAUCAGGAAAGACAUCACUCACAGAAGAAGCACCGGCUAACUCCGUGCCAGCAGCCGCGGUAAUACGGAGGGUGCGAGCGUUAAUCGGAAUUACUGGGCGUAAAGCGCGCGUAGGUGGCUUGAUAAGCCGGUUGUGAAAGCCCCGGGCUCAACCUGGGAACGGCAUCCGGAACUGUCAAGCUAGAGUGCAGGAGAGGAAGGUAGAAUUCCCGGUGUAGCGGUGAAAUGCGUAGAGAUCGGGAGGAAUACCAGUGGCGAAGGCGGCCUUCUGGACUGACACUGACACUGAGGUGCGAAAGCGUGGGUAGCAAACAGGAUCAGAUACCCUAGUAGUC